AUACGGAGGAUGCGAGCGUUAUCCGGAUUUAUUGGGUUUAAAGGGAGCGCAGGCGGAGAUGCAAGCGUGACGUCAAAUUUCGGGGCUCAACCCCGUCUCGCGUCGCGAACUGCGUCCCUUGGUUGCGGGAAGGGGAGGCGGAACUCGUGGUGUAGCGGGGAAAUGCAUAGAUAUCACGAAGAACUCCGAUCGCGAAGGCAGCCUUCCGGCCCGUCAACGACGCUCAUGCUCGAAGGUGCGGGUAUCAAACAGGAUUAGAUACCCUGGUAGUCCGCACAGUAAACGAUGGACACCCGCGGUUUGGCCUGUAUGGCUGAGCCGCCAAGCGAAAGCGUUAAGUGUCCCACCUGGGGAGUACGCCGGCAACGGUGAAACUCAAAGGAAUUGACGGGG
RNAcentral lists this ribosomal RNA (393 nucleotides) under uncultured bacterium. Its description in RNAcentral is "partial 16S ribosomal RNA". It matches the Rfam family "Bacterial small subunit ribosomal RNA", at positions 523 to 918 of the family's 1533-position model. The record is from RNAcentral.